UAUUGGUGGGAGAAUAUACCUCCUUCUAGCUUUAGAACUCAAGAGAGUGUCACAUCUUCAAGGAUGACCAGCGAGUCUGUCUAGUUUCGAAUUUCACUAACAUAACUUAAAGCGCUCAUCUGAUUAAGUCAGGCUCAUCCAGAAUAGUCUUUCUCCGGAUUAACUUAAAGUUAACUCAGUAGGACUCUUAAAUGCAUCUUCAAAUUCUCCUCUGACAUAAAACAAUCGUAUUGUGAUGUCACAUCCUAAUCACAAGUCUUUUUCACACUCAGGGAAAGAUGACUACACAGAGCUCUACACAAGGGGCAGCAUUUGGGGCCCGUGGUAGAGUUCUAUCUACCUGCCAAAUGAAGUAAACACAUGUUUAGCAACUUGAGAUCUCUGUGAAGUAAAUAUCACCAAAUAAACCCAGCCGCUCCAAGCAAGAAGAAAGCUCAGAGUAUGAUAAUCAAAUGUCAAGGGUGCAACUCGAAAUGUAACGUCAUACAGAGCUCUCAGAUGAGCAGAAGUCCACUGUGUAUCUGCACCGCAUUUUCAUUACCUGUUCACCGUCGGUAGACAUUGGGGCUGUUUUUGUGCUUCCUGGCUGCUAGGAAGAGAGCAGCAAUGAGCACAGACGAAAAGGUCCUGAUGGGGUCUCAUCACUCUCUCCAGUUCCUUCCUUCAAGGCAGUCACCGGGCUCUGGCGCUUUCGGAGAGAUCUGUGAGCAAGAGCUAAAAGUCAAAGUUUCUGUUGCUACCAAAGCUGCUUUUCUGGGGCGAUUUCUAAAACAGUCCUAUUUUGUGAUCACAUAAGGGCACUCAUCAACAUUUAGAGGACUGUUAGGACUCAAGCAAAGGCUUAAGAAACACCUAGUGCUGGGUUCGUGGACACAGUAUGGGGAUAGUGGGUAUGGGCUGAAUCCAGCUCCUCAGAACCCAUGUAAAAGCUAGAUGCAGUAGCAUGCACAUCUGUAACACCAGAGGCUCACCCAACAGCUUGCCUGCUUCCCUCGGCUUCCACAGAUGCCCUCCCCAUCUCAAACAAGACGUGAAGGAGAAGCCUGACUCCUACCAGCUGUCCUCUGACCUGCACAUCUGUGCGUAGACAUGUGCACUCCCUGUUCCCAUCACAAACAAACAAAAAGAAAAGAGAAACACACUGUUGGCAAACCGGGCGUCAUGUGAAAAUAUAAUAGGUCUGGUAUAAAAGUCACCUGACUAAGUUUCUCCUGCUCACCGCACGAUGUCACGAGCCGCCUCAGAAUUCUGCCAGGAAGAAGACAGUCAGCAGGUACAGGCCCUCGACCUUCAGAAUCAUGAUUGAUGGAUAAACAUCUUCUCUUUACAACUCACCUGUCUUGAUAUAUUACAUCAUUGGCAACAGAAAAUGGACUAAGAUAGCAUUUAUUUGAUGAAGAUCAAGCUUCCUUUGUUUCUUUCAUAAUAAAUGCUAUUUGAUAUUUGUAUUUA
Rattus norvegicus (Norway rat) is the source of this 1452-nucleotide long non-coding RNA. RefSeq lists it as uncharacterized. NCBI's taxonomy places the organism in Eukaryota, Metazoa, Chordata, Mammalia, Rodentia, Muridae. The record is from RefSeq and is a predicted model, not a curated record.